GCCUACGGGGGGCAGCAGUGAGGAAUAUUGGUCAAUGGCCGGAAGGCUGAACCAGCCAAGCCGCGUGAAGGACGAAGGUGCCAAGCAUUGUAAACUUCUUUUGUCAAGGGACAAAAUCAGGCUCGAGAGCCUGACCGAGGGUACUUGAAGAAAAAGCAUCGGCUAACUCCGUGCCAGCAGCCGCGGUAAUACGGAGGAUGCGAGCGUUAUCCGGAUUUAUUGGGUUUAAAGGGUGCGUAGGCGGGCUGUUAAGUCAGCGGUAAAAGCCCGGGGCUCAACCCCGGCUGGCCGUUGAAACUGGCUGU
RNAcentral lists this ribosomal RNA (305 nucleotides) under uncultured bacterium. RNAcentral's name for it is "bacterial SSU rRNA". It matches the Rfam family "Bacterial small subunit ribosomal RNA", at positions 337 to 640 of the family's 1533-position model. The record is from RNAcentral.